This 45-nucleotide non-coding RNA is filed under the name Schistosoma mattheei. Lineage: Eukaryota; Metazoa; Platyhelminthes; Trematoda; Strigeidida; Schistosomatidae. The record is from RNAcentral.
AUCUAACCGACGAGUCUUAAAUAGAACGAAACUCACGUCUUUGAU